RNAcentral lists this ribosomal RNA (251 nucleotides) under uncultured prokaryote. RNAcentral describes it as "partial 16S rRNA". It matches the Rfam family "Bacterial small subunit ribosomal RNA", at positions 525 to 775 of the family's 1533-position model. The record is from RNAcentral.
ACAGAGGUCCCAAGCGUUGUUCGGAUUUACUGGGCGUAAAGGGUGCGUAGGAGGUUGAGAAAGUCGGAUGUGAAAGCUCACUGCUUAACGGUGAAACUGCAUUCGAAACUUCUUGACUCGAGGAUCAGAAAGGAAAGCGGAAUUCUUGGUGUAGCGGUGAAAUGCGUAGAUAUCAAGAGGAACGCCAAUGGCGAAAGCAGCUUUCUGGAGGAUUCCUGACUCUGAGGCACGAAGGCUAGGGUAGCAAACAG